RNAcentral lists this non-coding RNA (45 nucleotides) under Schistosoma haematobium. Lineage: Eukaryota; Metazoa; Platyhelminthes; Trematoda; Strigeidida; Schistosomatidae. The record is from RNAcentral.
AUCCAGCUGACGAGUCCCAAAUAGAACGAAACGCACGCUCUGUAU